Molecule: long non-coding RNA, 3388 nt
Organism: Coregonus clupeaformis (lake whitefish)
Lineage: Eukaryota; Metazoa; Chordata; Actinopteri; Salmoniformes; Salmonidae
Exons: 5
Source: RefSeq, a predicted model, not a curated record
UGUACAAAAUCAGCAGGGGAUCAAGUACUUUUUUUCCUCACUGUAUAUUGCAUUUGUUUUAGGCAUAAGGGCAAUGAAAUGUACCAGUAUUUACGUAUAGUUGCAUAUUUUCAGAAGCUUGGGUCCCAGGAAAACACAGAAUUUGUCAUUUGGGUCCCAGGCUGAAAAAGUUUAAGAACCCCUGGUCUCUGGUAUUGAGUUUUUGCGCGGAGUGAGUUGAAGAGAGGUUAGGUGCGGACAACUAAGAUGGCAACAACAAGUAAUAAUUCAAACAUGAAGUGUAUAGCGCCAGGCUGUACGAAUUAACGCCAAAAAAAUCCCCUGGUAAGCUACCAUCGGCUGCCCAAGGACCCACAACCUUUGAAGAAGUAGCUCCAUGUCCUGAAGAGGAAGGACGUGCCAGCUCGAGCUCGCAGGAUCUACAGCCAGCACUUUGCGGAGGAAAACUUCAUGAUGAAGGGCACUUUCGAUGCGGCAAAUGGGAGUUUCCGAAUGAAAAGGACUCAUAGGCCUACAUUGAAGCCCUCUGCUUGCCCCUCCAUUUUCAAUUUCGAGUGUUAUGGUGUAGGUGUUACCGACCGAUCAACAUCGCUGACUUCAGAGUCAAGCCAAAGCCGGACUGAACAGAGGCGGCGACGUGAGUCAAUGGAGCCUGAGGUAACGUUAACCGAUCAUGAGUCAUGACUGUUGUAAACUAGGCUAGCGUUAGAGACUGGAUAACUUUGUUGCAACUCUAGUUGGAGGUAACUAGCUAAUUGCAUCUGAAGUGUUUUGUGUAACACCCCCAAGCAACUCCACUGCAACUAAAAUUGCAACACAGUUUCACCGUAUAGCCCUGUUAUUAGGUAGCUAGCUAGCUUCAAGUUCAGCUUGUCAAGUAAUACAUUUUUUGCUGACGGAUUUGUUUUUGGAAUGCUUUGUUGGCGGCACCUCAUUUAGUUAGACUGAAGUUGACAUGGCUAAUGUUUGCUGAAAAAUAAAUGUCCCUGUAUUUGCUUUGCUGUGUGUGUGCUAACAUAGCAUACAAGACAGGUAGCUUGUUAAUGCCAGCUGAUAUAUUUGGGUUCAGUUGUCUUAACAAAACGUUUGUUUGAUUUCAGGAUGACAUCCUGGAGGAGACUGUGCAGGAGGCACAGGAAAGAAUAGUUAGUACAGCAUGCCAAACUGACCCCUGAGUGCCAGUGUUCUUGUGCUGCAGUGGAGGAGAGGUCCACCAGGACCAUCACUAAAGAGCUCAAGGCCCAGCUAGAUUUCGCUCACAACCAUCAGUAUACAACUGAGUCCUUCCCCUAUCAGCCACAGAUGGAGCUGACGGAGAGGUGAGAGUGAGAUGAGUGAAGACCAGGACUCGCUGUAUGAACCUGAGAGCUCAGAAUCACAAUCAUCACAGUGCGAGCCAAGAGAUACUAUCGAAGAGUUUGUGCAAGAUCCAAAAUACAUAGUCUUUGAUAGCAAGCUGAGGGAGUUUUUCACUGUCAGCCAUGAGCCAGGAUGUCGAGCAGUUGUCAUCGUUAAUCCCUGAAAAUAAAUAGUUUUGCCAUCACCAUGGAGACCGAGUGUGUUGUGGGCCUCAGGAGGAAGUGGGGGUCCCAGACCAGAGUGGGAAAGUUGUUUGCAGGGAAUCUGUUGGUGCCAUCAGUGGUCUUCCUUACUGGCAGCUCCCACUCCACAUUUGUGGAAAUAUGUCACCUCAGCCUGGUGUCCAUGUUGCUGCGACAGUUCGCAAACCAACAGCGCUUUUACAUUGUGCCAGAGGUUAGCCACAUGUGGACCCAGCACACGGAGGCCAUUCUGGCUACAAUUGGUGACAGUCCACUGAUCGUAUCUGGAGACGCACAGUGUGAUUCUACAGGCCAUUGUGCCUCCUUUGGCACUUACACCAUCCUGGACUCUGCUUCCCACCUGAUCCUCGCCCAGGAGACUUGUGCAUGUGACCGAAGUGAAGAACAGCUACUGGUUGGAGACGGAGGAAUUAGAAAGAUGCCUGCAACACGUUGAGGUAAGCUAUAGUCUAACCAAUAUUUUGUAGCUAGCCUAAGGGUUGUAAGUGUGUAUUUGCUGGAUUCAUGAAGAGGACGUAGGUACCUUUUUUAGGAUAAUAAUACAAUCAUUAUUACUAACGGGCCCAUGGAUGCAGCAUUGAAACCCUGGCCACUGACAGGCAUCCAAGUGUGAGGGUGCACUUGAAGGACUCACAUGCUCAUAUCUGGCAUGAGUAUGACCUGUGGCACAUUGCCAAAGGUGUGCGGAAACAGCUGGUGGCAAUCAGGAAGCCAGAGGUACUGCCAUGGGUGAGGGCAUUAACGCACCACUUGUGGUACUUAGCCGCCACUGCUGGUGGGAGUGUCCAGGUGCUAAAAGAAAAGUGGAUCACCUUAGUUCACCACAUACAAAUGAACACCAGUGGGUCACUGGCGACACACUCAACUGCACCUAAAGAAGGAACACGACCCUGAAUGAACACAUCGUCGGCAGCUUUCGAGGCAGUGAGGAAAAUCGUCCUCAACCCGAGAUUGUUGAAGGAUCUCGAUAAGGUGACGAAGUGUGUUCAGACAGGUGAACUCAAGUGUACAUGCCCUGUACACUAAAUACGUGCCCAAGAGGAACAAGUUUGGCCAGCAGGGGAUGGUCGCAAGACUCCAAGUGGCUGCCUUCAACCACAAUUAUCGGUGGACAGACAGCAGGCUACAACAAAGAAGGGAGUGGUCCGUUUCAAGCAACAGUUCUCCAUGGCUGCCAGGGCGUUUGUGGUGAAAUCCAUCAAGGCGGCGAAGACAUGGUGUUUCCGGUCUGAGCUUCUACACGGCAUCGUUGACCGCAGUGCCAAUGGACCAUCCCAGCAGACUCUCCUGAGUGCCCAAAGAGAGAGAGUGGCAGUCACUUUGGGGGAGCGGGCUGGUGUUCCCGAAAAUGGAGAAGGAGCAGGCCAUUCAACAGCGAAUUCAAAGAUACACCCAUCCAUAGAGACAAUCGGAGUCUAAUUGUUUUUCCACAGAUUUAUUUUUAACCGUUUCAACUCUCUCACCCCCCGGACCUGCUGUCUCAACCUAUGAAUGCUAAGCUAUGAAAAGCCAACUGACAUUUUCUCCUGAGGUGUUGAAGUGCUGCGCCCUCUAUAACCACUGGUUAUUAUUUUGAUGUAAAAAGGGAUUUGUAAAAUACAUUUGAUUGUUUGCUGUGCUGCAUGCUGUGUAUUCACUAACUGAUGUGAAAUGUAUGUAGUAUCUGUAACAUAUUUUGGUGUGUAUUUAAUCUGCAACUUAACUUCUUAAAGCAGCAAUCAGCAGUAUAAACAAUAAGUGUCCACCCUGCUCCUCUUUCGGUAAAAAGCUGAGGGAUGGGGCUGGAGAAAUGUAACCACUCUCAAAUUCAUAGACAGAGCUAUGGA